Molecule: long non-coding RNA, 1085 nt
Organism: Felis catus (domestic cat)
Lineage: Eukaryota; Metazoa; Chordata; Mammalia; Carnivora; Felidae
Exons: 3
Source: RefSeq, a predicted model, not a curated record
UAUGGUCCACUGGCAUGCACCAAUUACAUCCUUCAGGCCUUGAUUAGGGAAAGGGAGUGAAGAAGAGACAGAAAACUUAACAUUCUCAUACAUAACUCUAUCCCCUAUACAAAGUCAUUUGUUUUCCCUUUGCUUUCAUAGGACAGUAGAUAUGGGAAUGAAGACAGAUUGAGGAAGAAAAAUUAUGAUGGGAGGGACAUCUAAGAUAUCUUAGAGGUGGAAGACAAGGAAGAGUUUGUGUGCCACCGAAGGUCACGGGGCCUGUCAUCAGAAAAGAUUAGAGAAGACAUCCACACUGCACCUUGAUCCAGCCAUUGCAGAAACGACUUUCCUACUUUUAAGGGUUUGGCCAGACCCAGACCUCGAGGAAGACAAGCCUGCCUGGCUGUUGGACAAAGAUGCACAUGGCAUGCCUCAUAGUACGGAGCAUGAGAGGUGGAACAUAAGCUCUGCUUCUUCUGACCGCGCCCCCCCCCCCUUCAGAUUCCCAACUCUCUUUCCCCUGAGAAAAAAAGAAAGAAAUAACUCUUGUUUUAUCAAUUCUAGCUGGCUUUAUUACUUAGCUGGGUUGUAAACUCCUACCCACCCUUCGAGACCUUCUCUAGGAAGCCUUCCCAGGCAACGUUCCCACAACACUUGUCCCACGCCUCUGGUAGGGAUUACCUCUCCGUGGCCAUUCCCUUUCAUGCCUAACUCACCUCUGUGUCCUUGGAAACAGAGCCUCUGUUGAGCAGGCCGUUGAGCCGACACCCGGAGGCUCACUAUACCUUUGCCCCAGCAAGGAAGAGAGGGAAACAACUACAUACAGAUGAGACUUAAUCAUUACCACGGCAGAACGGAAAUCAUAUACUCUGAAGCUUUUCCACAGAACUGCCCGGCAUUUGGUAAAAGGUAGGCCACGUGGGCCUGCCCAAAGAAGAUGAAUUACCAAGUCUGAAAGGCUCUCAUCAGAAGGUAGCCUGGCUGCUGAUACCCCUCAGAGUAGCAUUCAAAUGGAGCUCCAGGGGUGCCUGGGUGACUCAGUCGGUUGAGUGUCUGACUCUUGAGUUCAGCUCAGGUCAUGAUCCCAGGGCUGUGGGCUCAAG